Molecule: ribosomal RNA, 301 nt
Filed under: uncultured bacterium
Lineage: Bacteria
Description: partial 16S ribosomal RNA
Rfam family: Bacterial small subunit ribosomal RNA
Source: RNAcentral
CAGCAGCCGCGGUAAUACGUAGGUGGUAAGCGUUGUCCGGAAUUAUUGCGCGUAAAGGGCUCGCAGGCGGUUUCUUAAGUCUGAUGUGAAAGCCCCCGGCUCAACCGGGGAGGGUCAUUGGAAACUGGGAAACUUGAGUGCAGAAGAGGAGAGUGGAAUUCCACGUGUAGAGGUGAAAUGCGUAGAGAUGUGGAGGAACACCAGUGGCGAAGGCGACUCUCUGGUCUGUAACUGACGCUGAGGAGCGAAAGCGUGGGGAGCGAACAGGAUUAGAUACCCCAGUAGUCCCUGUCUCUUAUAC